UACGGAGGGUCCAAGCGUUAUCCGGAAUCACUGGGUUUAAAGGGUGCGUAGGCGGGAUUGUAAGUCAGGGGUGAAAUGCUGCAGCUCAACUGCGGAACUGCCUUUGAUACUGGAGUGCUUGAGUGAUGUUGAGGUGGUCGGAACAUGUCGUGUAGCGGUGAAAUGCAUAGAUAUGUCACAGAACGCCGAUUGCGAAGGCAGGUCACUAGGCCUACUCUGACGCUGAGGGACGAAAGCGUGGGGAGCGAACAGG
Molecule: ribosomal RNA, 253 nt
Filed under: uncultured bacterium
Lineage: Bacteria
Description: partial 16S ribosomal RNA
Rfam family: Bacterial small subunit ribosomal RNA
Source: RNAcentral